CCAGCACCCCGAGUGGUCGGGACGAUUAUUGGGCCUAAAGCAUCCGUAGCCGGCCUUACAAGUCCUCCGUUAAAUCCAGCUGCUUAACAGAUGGGCUGCGGAGGAUACUAUAAGACUAGGAGGCAGGAGAGGCAAGCGGUACUCAGUGGGUAGGGGUAAAAUCCGUUGAUCCAUUGAAGACCACCAGUGGCGAAGGCGGCUUGCCAGAAUGCGCUCGACGGUGAGGGAUGAAAGCUGGGGGAGCAAACCGGAUUAGAUACCCGGGUAGUCCCAGCUGUAAACGAUGCAGACUCGGUGAUGGACUAGCUUUAUGCUGGUCCAGUGCCGCAGGGAAGCCGUUAAGUCUGCCGCCUGGGUAGUACGGUCGCAAGACUG
RNAcentral lists this ribosomal RNA (375 nucleotides) under uncultured organism. Its description in RNAcentral is "bacterial SSU rRNA". It matches the Rfam family "Archaeal small subunit ribosomal RNA", at positions 476 to 851 of the family's 1478-position model. The record is from RNAcentral.